Molecule: ribosomal RNA, 2806 nt
Filed under: Clostridioides difficile
Lineage: Bacteria; Bacillati; Bacillota; Clostridia; Peptostreptococcales; Peptostreptococcaceae
Description: partial 23S ribosomal RNA
Rfam family: Bacterial large subunit ribosomal RNA
Source: RNAcentral
GGUCAAGUUAUUAAGGGUGCAGGGCGGAUGCCUUGGCACUAGGAGCCGAUGAAGGACGUGAUAAGCUGCGAUAAGCUUCGGGGAGUUGCACGUAAACUUUGAUCCGAAGAUUUCCGAAUGAGGAAACUCACUUAGAGUAAUGUCUAAGUAUCAUUAAGUGAAUACAUAGCUUAAUGAGGGGAACUCAGGGAACUGAAACAUCUAAGUACCUGAAGGAAGAGAAAGAAAUUCGAUUCCGUAAGUAGCGGCGAGCGAACGCGGAUUAGCCCAAACCAAUAAAGUUUUCUUUAUUGGGGUUGCGGACAUAUCAUAACGAAGAGGUAUCGUAAUUGAAGAGGUUUGGAAAGACCCACCACAGAAGGUAAUAGUCCUGUAUGUUAAACGAGAAGACUUCAGAUAUGAUCCAGAGUACCACGGGACACGUGAAACCCUGUGGGAAGCAGGAGGGACCACCCUCCAAGGCUAAAUACUACCUAGUGACCGAUAGCGUAUAGUACCGUGAGGGAAAGGUGAAAAGAACCCCGGGAGGGGAGUGAAAUAGAACCUGAAACCCUGCACUUACAAGCUGUGGAAGCACAUUUCUUGUGUGACCGCGUACUUUUUGUAGAACGGGCCAACGAGUUACGUUAAGUAGCAAGGUUAAGCACUUAAGGUGCGGAGCCGUAGCGAAAGCGAGUUUUAACUGAGCGUUCAGUUACUUGACGUAGACCCGAAACCGGGCGACCUACCCAUGAGCAGGAUGAAGCGAAAGUAAAAUUUCGUGGAGGUCCGAACCCACGAGCGUUGAAAAGCUCGGGGAUGACUUGUGGAUAGCGGUGAAAUUCCAAUCGAGCCCGGAGAUAGCUGGUUCUCCCCGAAAUAGCUUUAGGGCUAGCCUCAAGGUGAGAGAUACGGAGGUAGAGCACUGAAUGUCCUAGGGGGUAUUGCACCUACCGAAGACUAUCAAACUCCGAAUGCCGUCAUCUUAUACUUGGGAGUCAGACUGUGGGUGAUAAGAUUCAUAGUCGAAAGGGCAACAGCCCAGAUCGUCAGCUAAGGUCCCUAAAUGUAAGUUAAGUGGUAAAGGAUGUGGGAUUGCACAGACAACCAGGAUGUUGGCUUAGAAGCAGCCACUCAUUCAAAGAGUGCGUAAUAGCUCACUGGUCGAGUGAUCCUGCGCCGAAGAUUUCCGGGGCUAAAACUUACUACCGAAGCUACGGCAUCAGUAAUGAUGGGUAGGGGAGCUUCCCAUACGGGUUGAAGCGUGACCGUAAGGACAUGUGGACAGUAUGGGAGUGAGAAUGUUGGCAUGAGUAGCGAGAUGUGGGUGAGAAUCCCACAGGCCGUAAACCCAAGGUUUCCAGGGGAAGGUUCGUCCGCCCUGGGUUAGUCGGGACCUAAGCUGAGGCCGAAAGGCGUAGGUGAUGGACAACAGGUUGAUAUUCCUGUACUACCGAUAACCGUUUGAGAGAAGGGAUGACACAGUAGGAUAAGCUAAGCACACUGUUGGUUAUGUGUGCCCAAGCAUUGAGGCAGUCAAAGUAGGCAAAUCCGCUUUGAUAAUGCUGGGAUGUGAUGGGGAGCGAAAUUUAGUAGCGAAGUAGCUGAUUUCACACUGUCAAGAAAAGUCUCUAUCGAGGUUAAAGGUACCCGUACCGCAAACCGACACAGGUGGGUGAGGAGAGUAUCCUAAGGCCAGCGAGAGAACUGUUGUUAAGGAACUCGGCAAAAUGACCCCGUAACUUAGGGAUAAGGGGUGCCACCAUCAGGUGGCCGCAGAGAAUAGGCCCAAGCGACUGUUUACCAAAAACAUAGGUUUCUGCUAAGUCGCAAGACGAUGUAUAGGAGCUGACGCCUGCCCGGUGCUGGAAGGUUAAGGGGAUCUGUUAGAGCAAUCGAAGCAGUGAACUUAAGCCCCAGUAAACGGCGGCCGUAACUAUAACGGUCCUAAGGUAGCGAAAUUCCUUGUCGGGUAAGUUCCGACCCGCACGAAAGGCGUAACGAUUUGGGCACUGUCUCAACAACAGACUCGGUGAAAUUGUAAUUCCGGUGAAGAUGCCGGAUACCUGCGACAGGACGGAAAGACCCCAUGGAGCUUUACUGUAGCUUGACAUUGGGUCUUGGUACUACAUGUACAGGAUAGGUGGGAGGCUUUGAAACCAGGACGCCAGUUUUGGCGGAGCCAUCCUUGGGAUACCACCCUUGUAGUACUGGGACUCUAACCAUAGGCCAUGAAUCUGGUCUUGGGACACUGUCAGGUGGGCAGUUUGACUGGGGCGGUCGCCUCCCAAAAGGUAACGGAGGCGCUCAAAGGUUCUCUCAGUACGGUCGGAAAUCGUACGUAGAGUGUAAAGGCAAAAGAGAGCUUGAUUGCAAGACAUACAGGUCGAGCAAGGAUGAAAAUCGGACUUAGUGAUCCGGUGGUUCUGCGUGGAAGGGCCAUCGCUCAACGGAUAAAAGCUACCCUGGGGAUAACAGGCUUAUCUCCCCCAAGAGUCCACAUCGACGGGGAGGUUUGGCACCUCGAUGUCGGCUCAUCACAUCCUGGGGCUGUAGUAGGUCCCAAGGGUUGGGCUGUUCGCCCAUUAAAGUGGUACGCGAGCUGGGUUCAGAACGUCGUGAGACAGUUCGGUCCCUAUCCGUCGCAGGCGUAGGAAAUUUGAGAAGACCUGUCCUUAGUACGAGAGGACCGGGAUGGACGUACCUCUGGUGUACCAGUUGUCCUGCCAAGGGCAUGGCUGGGUAGCUAUGUACGGAAUGGAUAAGCGCUGAAAGCAUCUAAGCGCGAAGCCAACUUCAAGAUAAGAUUUCCCACCGCAAGGGUAAG